Molecule: ribosomal RNA, 310 nt
Filed under: uncultured bacterium
Lineage: Bacteria
Description: partial 16S ribosomal RNA
Rfam family: Bacterial small subunit ribosomal RNA
Source: RNAcentral
AAGAGACAGCAGUCGCCGCGGUAAUACAGAGGAUUUAAGCGUUAUCCGGAAUGAUUGGGCGUAAAGCGUCUGUAGGUGGCUUUUCAAGUCCGUCGUCAAAUCCCAGGGCUCAACCCUGGGCAGGCGGUGGAAACUACCAAGCUGGAGUACGGUAGGGGCAGAGGGAAUUUCCAGUGGAGCGGUGAAAUGCGUAGAGAUCGGAAGGAACAUCUGUGGCGAAGGCGACUAUCUGGGCCAACACUGACACUGAGGCACGAAAGCGUGGGGAGCAAACAGGAUUAGAUACCCCUGUAGUCCCUGUCUCUUAUAC